Molecule: ribosomal RNA, 236 nt
Filed under: Clostridioides difficile
Lineage: Bacteria; Bacillati; Bacillota; Clostridia; Peptostreptococcales; Peptostreptococcaceae
Description: partial 16S ribosomal RNA
Rfam family: Bacterial small subunit ribosomal RNA
Source: RNAcentral
UGCCAUCAUUAAGUUGGGCACUCUAGAGAGACUGCCAGGGAUAACCUGGAGGAAGGUGGGGAUGACGUCAAAUCAUCAUGCCCCUUAUGCUUAGGGCUACACCCGUGCUACAAUGGGUAGUACAGAGGGUUGCAAAGCCGUAAGGUGGAGCUAAUCCCUUAAAGCUACUCUCAGUUCGGAUUGUAGGCUGAAACUCGCCUACAUGAAGCUGGAGUUACUAGUAAUCGCAGAUCAGA